This 2695-nucleotide long non-coding RNA is filed under the name Nicotiana tabacum (common tobacco). RNAcentral describes it as "long non-coding RNA (NTAB_LNC005678)". Lineage: Eukaryota; Viridiplantae; Streptophyta; Magnoliopsida; Solanales; Solanaceae. The record is from RNAcentral.
AAACAGAAAUAAGUGAAAUAAAUCUGAAGUAAAGUGUUGAAAACCAUAACUACUGAAAUAUCUAAUACAAUCCCGAAUCUGGUGUCACAAGUGCACGAGCUACUAGAAUAAUGCAGAUAAAGGUCUGAAUGAAGUAAAGUUGUCUGAAUAAAAAUACACAGCUAAAAUAAUGCAGAAGGGGACUUCAGGGUUGCGAACGCCGAGCAGCUGUACCUCAAGUCUCUGUCUAAUAGUCAACCCGAGCAAUCUACUGACCACCGCUGGGACCGACUCCAAAAUCUGCACAAGAAGUGCAGAGUGUAGUAUGAGUACAACCGACCCCAUGUACUUUGUAAGUGCCUAGCCUAACCUCUACGAAGUAGUGACGAGGCUAAGGCGGACCACUUAUAAUAACAUGUACACAGCAUAAAAUAAUGACAGGAAAGGAAAAUACGGAAACGACAUAAGGCAGUUAACUCAUGAAAAUAACUCAAUCCUCAAAGAAAACCAGUAAAUCCUUAGAGUCUCGUACGAAAGUAUCAAAGCCAACACAAUGCAGUAAGGAAUAGAAACACAUAAACUGUUGUGACGCACAAUCCCAUCCCACCGUACAACACUAUCCUCCCUUAUUCUACCAUGUAAAUUUCAAUAAUAAUAAGUAAAUAUAUAUAUAUAUAUAUAUAUAUAUAUAUAUAUAUAUGUUGCGGCGCGCAACCCGAUCCCACCAUAUAAUCACAGUCAAUAUCGUAAUCCUCCCUUAUUUCACCAUAUCAAUCUACCCUUACUUCACAUGUUGCGGCGUGCAACCUGAUCCCACCAUAUCAAUAUAAAUCCUCCAUUAUUUCACCAUAUCAAUCCACCCUUAUUUCACCUGUUACGGCGCGUAACCCGAUCCCAUCGUAUCAAUAUAAACAAAUCAAUAAGUGCAAUCAAUUUAACAACUCGAAUCACAAUAAUCUCUACGAUUAACGAAUAUAAAAGCUACAAAUCAAGAAGGAAUCUCGUACCAAAUCACAAAAGACUACAAUUAAUACUGAACAACAAGAUAAGUCAAAUAUAUGACAGUUAAAGGGUACAAAUAAGACAAUCAAGGCAAGUAUCAACUAAGCAUGGGAGCAUGGAAGGAAUUAACAUUUAUAAUGCGAGAAUAAUAAAUGACAAGUAGCAAAUUAAGGUAUAUGAAGCAAUUAAGGCAUGAAAUGAUAUAAUUAAUGAAAUAUGGGUAGACAUAAAAAUAAGUAAUUGACGGCGUAUACACACUUGUCACCUCGCAUAUACGCCGCCACUCAUGAAAUUCACAUAGCACAUAGCUCAAAGGUUCCUAAUUCCCUCAAAACAAGGUUAGACCCAACACUUACCUCACUCUGCAAUCAACUCAAAGUUCAACCAUGACCUUGCCUUUCGAACAAGCCUCCAAACCAAUCAAAUCUAGCAAAUUAUUAACCAAAUGAUUCAAAAUAAGCCUUAGAAACUACCCACGAAUGAAAUAAGUUCAAUUAAGAUCAUUAUUGAAAAAGUCAACCCCGGGCCCGCUAGGUCAAAACCCGAGGUUCAGACCGAAACCCGAUCACCCAUUCACCCCCGAGCCCGAUUAUGCAAUUCAAUUCGAAAUUCGACCUCAAUUCGAGGUCUAAAUCCCAAUUUUACAAAAAUUUCUAAUUCUACCCAAAUUUUUAAUUUCUACCAUGAAAAUCCUAGAUUUGAUGUUGAAAUCUUAUGGAAUGUAAUGGGUAAUUAAAAGAAAAUAGAUUAGAGUCACUUACCAAUGAAUUGAGGGAGAAAAGCUCUUGAAAAAAUCGCCUCUAUGGUAUUUAGGGUUGAGAGCUGGAAAGAAAUGAGCUAAUUCCCGUUUUUCCCUCUUUUACCCAGCUGCAGUUUUCGCAAUUGCGACACAUAGUUCGCAAUUGCGAUCAACCCUUCGCAAAUGCCAAGAAGUCACUGAGCCUGUUGUCGUCGCAAAUGCGGCAAUUUGUUCGCAAUUGCGCACUUUCACUUUGCAAAUGCGAAGCUUGCUCUAACACUGCCGAGUCGCAAUUAUCCGCAGUUCAACACCAGAUGAAAACUUGCACCAGUUAUGAUUCUAAAUCAAAAACCACUCUGAAGCCUAUCCGAAACUUACCCGAGCCCUCGGGGCUCCAAAUCAAACAUGCACACAAGUCCAAAAAUUUCAUACGAACUCGCUCGCUCGAUCAAAAUACCAAAAUAAUACCUAGAACUACGAAUUGGACACCAAAACGAAUGAAAUUUUUAAUGAAACUUAAGAACAUGCAACUUUUCAACCAGACGUCUGAAUCACGUCAAAUCAAUUCCGUUUUGCACCAAAUUUUGCAGACAAAUCAUAAAUACUGUAAUGAACUUAUAUCAUGUUCCGGAACCAGAUCCGGACCCGGUAGCAACAAAGGUAAACUCCGGAUCCGAACAAAUGGCGAUAAUGCAAGUUAGGGACUUCCGAAUUCGAUUCCGGGCAUACGCCCAAGUCCCAAAUCACGAUACGGACCCACCGGGACCGUCAAAAUACUCAUCCGGGUCCAUUUGCUCAAAACAUAUUCCAAAUGAGUUUUAAGGCACGAUUUGACAUUUUAGUCAAUUUUUCGCAUAAAACCCUUCUGGAAUAAGAUACGGAAUGCGUACGCAAAUUGAGAAAAGCUAGACGGAGCUAUUCGGGGUUUCGAAAUACAGAAUGGAGGGUUAAAACUAUAAAUGACCUAUCGGGUCA